GCGCGGUUGGCGUAGUGGUAUAGCGCGUCACUCGAUUUGAGCUUGGUGAAAGACCCGGGUUAGAAUCCCGGACCUCGCA
Molecule: transfer RNA, 79 nt
Filed under: Neurospora pannonica FGSC 7221
Lineage: Eukaryota; Fungi; Ascomycota; Sordariomycetes; Sordariales; Sordariaceae
Description: tRNA-Ser (TGA) (tRNA-Ser-TGA-4-1)
Rfam family: tRNA
About the family: Transfer RNA (tRNA) molecules are approximately 80 nucleotides in length. Their secondary structure includes four short double-helical elements and three loops (D, anti-codon, and T loops).
Source: RNAcentral